UGCAGAAUCCCGUGAACCAUCGAGUUUUUGAACGCAAGUUGCGCCCGAAGCCUUUGGCUGAGGGCACGUCUGCCUGGGCGUCACGCAUCGCGUCUCCCCCAAAUCCACCAAGAGUGGAGGAGGGGAAGGAGGAUGGUCUCCCGUGACUCACCGGUCGCGGCUGGCCUAAAAUUGGAGCCCUCGGCAUGGGGAUGCCGCGGCGAUAGGUGGUGAACAAGGCCUCGGCCAAGCAAGCAACCCGUCGUGCGUCGCCGUGCCAACGUGAGCUCGAAGGACCCUUGACGUUGCCUAACGGCAACCAAACCGUUGCGACCCCAGGUCAGGCGGGGCUACCCGCUGAAUUUAA
RNAcentral lists this ribosomal RNA (346 nucleotides) under Silene environmental sample. RNAcentral's name for it is "eukaryotic LSU rRNA". The stretch from base 1 to 83 matches the Rfam family "5.8S ribosomal RNA", at positions 73 to 154 of the family's 154-position model. Lineage: Eukaryota; Viridiplantae; Streptophyta; Magnoliopsida; Caryophyllales; Caryophyllaceae. The record is from RNAcentral.